Gossypium hirsutum (cotton) is the source of this 72-nucleotide non-coding RNA. Lineage: Eukaryota; Viridiplantae; Streptophyta; Magnoliopsida; Malvales; Malvaceae. The record is from Rfam.
GCUUUUGUAGUCCAACGGUUAGGAUAAUUAUCUUCCAAGCAAUAGACUCGGGUUCAACUCCCGGCAAUUGCA